ACAAGUAAUGAAGGAGAACCAUGGAGACAAUGAAGAAAGCUUGGGGACGCGCCAAGGAGUGAACCGCGAAAGCAAGAAAAUGAAUCUAAGGAGCGACACUUUCACGAGAGUUUCCUAUACUUUUGAGGCCAACGUGAAAAUUUCUAUUAAAAUAAAUUAAUGACACAUGACUCUCAUCUCAUGUCAAACUUUUGUUUGUAAAAAAUCGUUACCCUUAUUAUUUUUCUCUGUAUCUUCUUCGUUUUCCAAAGCCGAUUUAUUAUUUUUCUUUGUAUGUUCGUAAUUGUUCAUCAACACCAAACUGUUACCGAAAUCACAUCCACGCUUUCUUUUCCUUUCGAGGUUCAAUUCAUCUAUGGUGGAAGUGGCGCACCUUCAAGAAUUCAUCAAGUUGAAGCCUUUUCAGUUCUGAUUCGUCUGGUUCUCUUGAUUGCUCGGUGCUGAUUUAGUAUUUUAGGGUUUCAAAAUUUGAAGCCCCACCAUUGAAGCAUUGUAUUAUGUCUAGGUUCUCGCUUGCAAUGAUGUGCUUCUGGGUGGCUUUGUAAUUUCUUAUUAUCCCUUUUAUUGUUGUUUUUGUGGUCAAAGUUCAACAAUUAUCACAGAGUUGCUAUAGUGUUCUUUCUUCUUUUUAAGAUUUAUUUUCCUCUA
Vigna unguiculata (cowpea) is the source of this 648-nucleotide long non-coding RNA. RefSeq lists it as uncharacterized. NCBI's taxonomy places the organism in Eukaryota, Viridiplantae, Streptophyta, Magnoliopsida, Fabales, Fabaceae. The record is from RefSeq and is a predicted model, not a curated record.